Molecule: ribosomal RNA, 433 nt
Filed under: Lomanotus vermiformis
Lineage: Eukaryota; Metazoa; Mollusca; Gastropoda; Nudibranchia; Lomanotidae
Description: partial large subunit ribosomal RNA
Rfam family: Bacterial large subunit ribosomal RNA
Source: RNAcentral
AGCCUUAAGGAAUAUAUUUAAGGUUUGAUCUGCUCGAUGUUUUUAAUAAAUGGCCGCGGUACCCUGACCGUGCUAAGGUAGCGUAAUCAGUUGGCUUUUAAAUGGAGUCAGGUAUGAAUGGGAGAACCGGGCUCGGCUGUCUACAAACUACUAAAUUGAAUUUACUGUUUAAGUGAAAAAGCUUAAAAAUAGAAAAGGGACGAGAAGACCCUUAGAAUUUUUUCUAAAGUGAGUGUUACUUAUAAUGAUUUUGUUGGGGCGACAGAGAAAUAGUUAAAACUUUCUUUUUUGCAUGCCGGCUAUAUCAAGAAGGAAUAAAUUACCUGAGGGAUAACAGCAUAAUUUUACAGUUAAGUUUGUGACCUCGAUGUUGGACUAGGAAACUAACAAGCUAGCCGUUUGUUGUGUGGGUUCUGUUCGAACUAUAAUUCCU